Molecule: ribosomal RNA, 637 nt
Filed under: uncultured bacterium
Lineage: Bacteria
Description: bacterial SSU rRNA
Rfam family: Bacterial small subunit ribosomal RNA (bases 1-546)
Source: RNAcentral
CCUACGGGAGGCAGCAGUGGGGAAUUGUUCGCAAUGGGCGCAAGCCUGACGACGCAACGCCGCGUGGAGGAUGAAGACCUUCGGGUCGUAAACUCCUUUCGAUCGAGACGAAUGUUUUCCGGGUGAACAAUCCGGAAAAGUGACGGUACCGAGAGAAGAAGCCCCGGCUAACUCUGUGCCAGCAGCCGCGGUAAUACGAGGGGGGGGCAAGCGUUGUUCGGAAUUACUGGGCGUAAAGGGCUUGUAGGUGGCCAACUAAGUCAGACGUGAAAUCCCUCAGCUUAACUGGGGAACUGCGUCUGAUACUGGAUGGCUUGAGUUUGGGAGAGGGAUGCGGAAUUCCAGGUGUAGCGGUGAAAUGCGUAGAUAUCUGGAGGAACACCGGUGGCGAAGGCGGCAUCCUGGACCAACACUGACACUGAGGAGCGAAAGCCAGGGGAGCAAACGGGAUUAGAUACCCCGGUAGUCCUGGCCCUAAACGAUGAAUGCUUGGUGUGGCGGGUAUCGAUCCCUGCCGUGCCGAAGCUAACGCAUUAAGCAUCCGCCGUGGGAGGUACGGUCGGCGAGGCGUGUAAACGUUAACGAAAGUAAAGUUAGUUACGGCGUUGAGNGCGACGACGACGACGAGGAGGAGGAG